RNAcentral lists this ribosomal RNA (253 nucleotides) under uncultured bacterium. RNAcentral's name for it is "partial 16S ribosomal RNA". It matches the Rfam family "Bacterial small subunit ribosomal RNA", at positions 524 to 776 of the family's 1533-position model. The record is from RNAcentral.
UACGUAGGGAGCAAGCGUUGUCCGGAAUCAUUGGGCGUAAAGCGCGCGUAGGCGGCCCUGUAAGUCCGCUGUGAAAGUCAAAGGCUCAACCUUUGAAUGCCGGUGGAUACUGCAGGGCUAGAGUCCGGAAGAGGCAAGUGGAAUUCCUGGUGUAGCGGUGGAAUGCGCAGAUAUCAGGAGGAACACCAACGGCGAAGGCAGCUGGCUGGGACGGUACUGACGCUGAGACGCGAAAGCGUGGGGAGCGAACAGG